ACCGUCUUAACAGUUAGAGCAGCAGGUAUGCUGUCUGUUGUGCUGCUGUCUGCCUCAGAGUCAGAGUAUCAGUCUGUCUGUGAAGGUUUGUUAGUCUUAGAUACAAAUCUAUCUAUGUUUUAGCAACUGAGGUAUCACCUUCCUGCAUUGUAUAUUUAAUCUGCAAGUGCAAAUUUGUAAGUAAAAGUUAGUGGAUACUUAUACUCUAAAAGAGAGUGUCUAGCGCAAUUUUUAUAGGAGGGAAAGAGAGAACUAAUUAAAGGGUCAAACGACCCUUUGCGCUGACUUACGCAAAACUCUGCUAAAUGGGAACUAGAGUUUAAUUCCCACAUUUCCCAGUGUUCUUUUAAUUGGAGGUGCCAGUGAUUGACCCUCACACUGUAGGGGAACUUGAACCUGUCCAAAAUGUAGAAGAGAGAGCUUGUGCCCUAGAACUAAUUUGUGCUCUCCAGAUGUUUUUUAAACCACAACUCCCAUCUGCUGCUUGAGGAUGGUGGAAGUUGUAGUUCAAAACAUCUGGAGGGCACCACAUCAUUGAAGGCUGUUCUAGAAGACUCAGAGCUGGACAAGGUACGGCGAGACAACCACUUAAUAGCUAUUGUCGACAUUCUGUUCAAAUGUAACUCUAUAUGUGCCUAAUGCAUGUAUAAUUGUCAGCAUUGCAUUGCAUUUGCAAACAGUCUCUGUCCUCACUUAGAAGUGCCACUAACAUAAACGUAUUAAAUUAUUGCCAUUGCCUUUAGUGGAACGAUUACAUUUAUUUGUGGUGGGUGGGGUGCCUAAAACAGAUAAACGAUGCUUGAUUAGAAAGUUAACGCAGCUGGCUUUAUGAGCAGAGUACAGCCAAAGUUAAGCACACAGUUAAGCUGAAAUGAUUUUAACUCUCAGAUUGAAAUCAGUAGGUCUUGCAAGUGCCUAACUUGUCCGGAUUGCACUCUAUGUUUCUGUUUGGCUUGCUCUUUUAAGAAAGUGGUUCGUAUUACAUAUCCAUCAAUAAUGAAAUGGUACUGGGAAGAAGCUGAGGAAGACACUUGGUCAAAGCCAGAGGGAGCCAUCCUUGUUUUUAUGAAGUACCAGAAGCUUAGAAAUGUGCACUGUGUGUAUAUAUAUAUAUAUAUAUAUAUAUAUAUAUAUAUAAAAUUGAAGAAGGGUUUUUAUAGAAGCUUUGUUGUUUUAAAGAUGCAAAUUUGAUGUUUGAAUGCUCAUUUAGAAGACAGUAAAAGGUGUAUGAAAAUGUGCUAUAUGAGACACGUGGCUUGCCCUUUCUCCUCCAAAAAUACUAGCUAUCAGGGCUAGAAUCACUGCUGAGACCCCUAUGCCAAGGGGGACCCACAGCUGACUACCAGAGAUCCCCCCCAGCCCUGUUGCUGUUCCUUUCCCUGCUCACAGUUCACUCCCUCUGCUCCCCUAAUUUUUAGUCUGUGGCCCCACAGGCGGUUCACUUUUUGAUGUGUUUUUCUCUGUUAGGCUAAAACUAUCGAAUGCAAACUAGAGUGGCAGUUUCAUUCUCACACACCAGAUAUAUGGAAGGGGAACAAUUUAAAGCCUGUUUAACUGUAAAAGGCUUGUGAUCAAGAAAAUAAGAGUUUGGCCAAGGCUCUAGAGAUUUACAGUGGUACCUCUAGUUACGAACUUAAUUCGUUCCAGAGGUCCGUUCUUAAUCUGAAACUGUUCUUAACUAGAGGCGUGCUUUCGCUAAUGGGGCCUCUUGCGGCCGCUGCUAAAAAGAGAAAUUUGGAUAUGAAGUAGGGGGAGUUGGGAGAGAUGGAGGACAGAGUGGUGGGGAACUGCAGCAAAUUUUGGAGUAUGACUUUCCCCUGUGCAGGAUACUCCAUUCCAUUUCCCCUCCUACUAGAUUUCUAUUCCUCCUUCAACUUUCAGUCCUCAUUCUGUUGCAACUGAGCAUGUUAAGUUUUUCAUGGAGCUUCUGUGUUUGCGUGUGUUACUUGAGAAUGUGACAGAGGGGACUGAAAAAUAAAAAUUAACAUCAAAGACAGGAGUCCCUGUUGGGAGCUGCCCGGCGUGGCUGUGGCAACCCAGUCAGAUAGGCAGCUUAUUAUUAUUAUUAUUAUUAUUAUUAUUAUUAUCUGUCUUAAGGUGAUGUUUAUUUUUUAUUUUUAAAAAAUAAACACCUACAGCCUGAAAUUGAACAGUGGAUUACAUUGAAGGCUUCUGUAAGCUGCAUUCUUUUCAGCACAGCCUUUCAAUCUGCAAUAAGGGUAUAACUGAAUUGUGCAGGGGUUCUAAGCUACUCACUCGGCUUCUAAGCUACUCACUCAGAUUCUGCCCAACGCCUGACCUGCAGUAUGUGUGUGGGUGUUGGGUGUGAUGGGUAGGUAUCUCGUACAUAAGCACAUGUACAGGAUGACUCAGAUCACUAUUUAUUAGUAUAUAGAUAGCAAUGAUGAACAGUGGCAGGGAAAUGCUCGGUUUUUCAUAUACAUAUUACAGUUGCAAAUGACCUCCAUUUCUGAGCUACCUGAGAUUCUUUGCAUCUGCCUUGAUCAAAAUAUUUUAGAUGUUUUCCCCACCCCGCAUUCCAUUUUAGAUUUGCCUGAGGCAUCACGGCAAUAAAGCCUUUCUAAUAGAAGGGAAUGAGAGAUGCAUUAGCCAGUAUAUUUGACUCAAACCGUGUGCUGGGAACUGCUUUCAAGAAGUACAUUGGCCAUUUUGUUAAGAGUCAUUGGGAUUAUGGUAUUCUGCAGUCCACUAAAUAUUUAGAGAAGUGUGAAAAAGGAAAGCUCUGUGUACAAUAUAAAUUAGGUAUCUCUAGGGACUAAAAAGGUACAUUGGCUGAUUUUCUCUUCUUUUUUUUUUGGUAAAAAGUAUCUAGCUUACUAUGGGAAAAUAAUGAGUAAUUGCCAUGGCAACCUCCCUCUCAUAGGGUGCUCAUAUACUGCACACACAUAAAGAGAGAAUCGUAUCAAAUAAGGUAUCACACUUCAACUUCUUAUUUAGAUAUUUUUUUUCUUUCACAGGAUAGCCUACUCGCCCCCAAACCAUUCAGCAAGGGGAAAAAAAAUCAAAACUAAAUUAUGCUUGUUGGCAUAAACAAUAAUUUUCUUUUGAAAGGGGACAACGGGGAGUUCUAAGACUACAGCAAAAUGGCAAAGAAAGAUAACGACUCGUUUUUUUAAUAAUGGUUUGUGAUUCGAGGACCCGAUCCCCGCUUGGGGAAUAAAGACACGUGCACACAGAAUGUAAGGUUAAUGGGUAAGGUAAAGGCCACAACUUUAUUGAUUACAGCAUGUGAGAAGGUAUUGGCUUAGGCAUUGGACCACGGAACAUUAGACUCCACCCACUCGUAGAGGGGCGAGUCUGAGGAGGGGUUAACCACCAAUAGGGGAAGCCUGUUGAUGCUAAUCCAACUAUAGGCUCUCUUCCUGAUGUCACCGAGGGUCGUGCCAUGGCCCCCCGCCACACGGGCAUCGGACAGGAUCCACGACCGCCGGAUUCCUUUAGCGGAAUACCCAAAAUUGUCGGGGAAGGCGAUGGCCACACCUUGCCCCCCGAAACACCAACAACACAUUCCAAUGCCUAACCGCCACCCGAGCCAAAAGGCUCGCCGCCAAUACCCUCACAGCUGCAACCAAUCCCUGAGACUAUUGGAUAUGUUAGCCAGCCAUAUGUUGUUUCCACAAUCUGAAAGGUGAACGCCGUCAUCCCGGAAUAGGGUCUGGUCGCCAAUCUGGAUAUCAUCAUGAGAUAUAACUAGGCCAUUCAUAAAACGCACUUUGCGCGCUACCACGCGAUUCAAGAGUUUACUGGAUUUCUCAAAGGCCAUAAUGUUAUGCGCACCGCGCCAAACCUUUCUCUUCAAGAGAGAGGACCAGAACAGGGUUGUUCUGGGAAAUAAGGCAGCCAACUCAUCCAAGACCUUUCUCAUGUUCCACAACAAGUCCACACUCUUCCUGCUAGCCAGGUCGCUCUCACCCAGCUGAAUGAUUAGAAUGUUGGGGGGCCCAACAGCGCAGCUUUGGCCUUCAGCAGUGGCAUGAGUUCUUGCCAGCGCAUGCCCCUUCUCAACAACCAGGAAACUUGCACCCACGAUGGUAGCCGCAGAUUAGGCAUGAAGCCGGAACUUGCUGACUGGAGGCGGGCCCAAUGCACAAUACUGUGGCCGCAAAUCCACACUGGACUACCGAAGACAGCUAAGAAUAAAGAAAGAAAAGACAGGUAAGCGGAGCGUUCUCAGAAUACUUUUGUAGGCAUUAGAUUUCCAGCGGCCCAUCUCCUUGAUCCUGUCUGCCGGAAGGCCCAUGAGGCCGUUGUGGCCACACCAAUCCUAAAUGAAUGUGCUGCGUAGUCUUUUGGAAGGGAAAGCGCAGGCAUCUAUCGCUUUGCAAAGUACCCUGGUGAAUUGGUGCCUCAUCAACCGGUCCCAUCCUCAUGAAUGAAGAGCAAGCCAAGGCCGGGAGGUCUGAAGUAAAGGUAUCGCCUGGUGUCCUUUACUGGGCAUGGGCCCUUCUGACUGGAGGCCGUGAGUUGUACUACGGUGCCCUUACUGCCCUGGUCCAUCUUAGACUGAUGCACCCGCACCAUUACACCUGAACUGGACACCUGCACGUCCUCCAGGAGGAGGCUGCGCGUUGUUCCACUUGAGGUAGCUUCUGCUACCACCUCGCCAACCCACAAGGCACCAAAGAAGGCUAUAGCGUAUGCCGCAGAGAACAGCCGGGCCUCAAACUUGGACCAGCAAAUUGACCUAAGUUUCAUACGAUAGAGGAAAGGGACAAUACUUUGGACCUGAAACCUGUGAAGUCGCACCAUACUUUCUUAUAAGACCUGAGGGUAGAGGGUGCAACAGACGCUAAUACUCCCUUGAUCACUUCGCGUCUCCAAGGUUCCGUAGGUGAUCCGGAAAGGGUUCUGGCAGCAGCUGAGCCCAAGGUGCUAACGACCGGAAGCAAGGCAUCGGAGCACAAAUGAUCGAAGUAGGCGAGACCCCUCUCAGAACGCAAUGACUGCUAGCCAGUAUGUUAACCACGGCCUGGUUAUCAGUUCUGAAGCACACCCGGCGAUUCCGGAACUCCUCGGUCCAUAUGUGAACCACCACAACUAUGAGAAAAAACUCCAGAAAAGUGAGAUCCCGCAUGAUGGCCUCCCCUUGCCACUCUGCUGGCCAUUGUUGCGCGCACCAACAUCCCUUAAAGAACAGACCAAAGCCCAGGGCCCAGUGGACCUGGAAAUCAGAGGCC
Non-coding RNA from Podarcis lilfordi (Lilford's wall lizard), 5198 nucleotides. NCBI's taxonomy places the organism in Eukaryota, Metazoa, Chordata, Lepidosauria, Squamata, Lacertidae. The record is from the annotation of a GenBank genome assembly.